Molecule: RNA transcript, 1412 nt
Organism: Osmia lignaria (orchard mason bee)
Lineage: Eukaryota; Metazoa; Arthropoda; Insecta; Hymenoptera; Megachilidae
Source: RefSeq, a predicted model, not a curated record
GACUUUUGAAUUUUUUUAAAUUGUUGGUUAAUCAGUCUCUAAAUCGAUGGUUAAUAUAUAAAUAUCCUCCGUAUUCUUUAUGAAGGAUACUUAGAAACCGAUCAUGAAAAGAAUCUUCCAAAUCUAGUGAAAUUUUAUCCGACAAAAAUGGGUGAAGAACAACAGCUUUUCUUAGUCGAAUUUUUAGUCGAGAAGGUUAAGAUUCCAGUGAUAAGGGCGAUGCAAGACGAGUUGUUGCCAGCGUGUACCUGUGUCUCUUUCCAAAUCCUCGGUUUGCCACCCGUCAACAUUUGCCAGGAAUCUUUGACCGACGGUUGCGGUUGCGAGGACGGCGACACGCAGAUCUUUAAGAAAGGGAAAUCCUGUUUGUUCGCGUUGCCAUCGAUCGUGCUACAGAGGCCAGUAACCUCGUUCCCGGUCAAGUUAUCCGUCUACAAGAAGCUACCACCUGGAGUACUACCGGACGUGAUGCUGGUCGGUUGUCACCAGAUCGAGGCGAAGGCUUUGAUAAACGCGGUACUGAGCCAGAAGGUAUUCAAGAUCGCGAAUCCAUGCCAGACGAUCAAGGACACUUUCAAGAUCACCACCGCAACGGGACAGUGCGUCGGGGCUGUCACCGUUUACAUAAGGGUGUCCUGCUUCGGCAAUAAAAUCAUCACCCAAUUCCAAGUGCCCCACAACAGGAAACCGUAUCUAUUCAAAGGCGCCGACGACAGCCCCGUUUUUCAAUGCAAGAAGAUACCUUCUUCUUGCGACACACCUGCCCCAGUGAAGUGCACCUGCACGAAGAAAUGCAUCGACGGAAGUGGCGAAUCAGCUGGAAGAACUUGCUGCCAAACCCCACUGGUCGUCGCGUCACCCUGCCCUCCUCUACCUGACAAACAACCUGACUGGGGACCACGACCCUGUUGCGCCUCUCGACAAUCCCCCCCCGGGGGACAAGGUGGGGGUUGUCCAUGCUCCUCCAAAUCACCCCAAAAAUAUCAAGAUACCGAUCCAACGGUAAAAUUCGGUGGAUGUAGCGCUGUUCAUCAGCAACCUGCUGAUGGAAAAUGUAAACCUUGUUGCGGUUCGGCACAACCGGUUCAAAAGGAUCCUUGUCCACCCUGUUGCGGUGCCUCUUCAUCCGGCUCAAAAGGCUACAAAGGGUUCAGUGAUUUAACGAGUAAAGAAACGCCCACGAAAAAGUGUGGAUGUCCUGUGAAGGAUUACAGUUGUAACUGUGGAAAGUGAAGAGAAUCUUUCCACUUGAAAAAUAAACACUUUUUCAUAGAAACAAAUUUUUGGUGAAUAUGGCAAGCACGAUAGAAACUUACAAAUCGAAUUCAAGCAUCUUGGAUCUCUACUCGACGACUUAUCCGUUUGAUAUACUGAUUAAUAUCCUCGCUGGGAACGUGCUGGUAGUUCUCGAG